UGCCAGCCGCCGCGGUAAUACGGAGGGUGCGAGCGUUGUUCGGAUUUACUGGGCGUAAAGGGUGCGUAGGCGGAUAUUAAGGUCAGGUGUGAAAUCCCGAGGCUCAACCUCGGAACUGCAUCUGAAACCGAAUGUCUAGAGUGUGACAGAGGAUAAUGGAAUUUCUAGUGUAGCAGUGAAAUGCGUAGAUAUUAGAAGGAACACCAGAGGCGAAGGCGAUUAUCUGGGUCAUAACUGACGCUGAGGCACGAAAGUGUGGGUAGCAAACAGGAUUAGAUA
This 279-nucleotide ribosomal RNA is filed under the name uncultured bacterium. RNAcentral describes it as "partial 16S ribosomal RNA". It matches the Rfam family "Bacterial small subunit ribosomal RNA", at positions 506 to 784 of the family's 1533-position model. The record is from RNAcentral.